Molecule: long non-coding RNA, 260 nt
Filed under: Elaeis guineensis (African oil palm)
Lineage: Eukaryota; Viridiplantae; Streptophyta; Magnoliopsida; Arecales; Arecaceae
Description: long non-coding RNA (EGUI_LNC011847)
Source: RNAcentral
UGGCUUUUUACCAUUUGUCCUCUACUUUUCAUAUUUAAUGACACUUGACAUGCAACCAUAAUAGAUGUCUUGAUGUCUCAGUGGAUUAAUUGACCCGCGAACAGCCUUUAUUAGUGAUCUACACAAGUUGGACGGCAGGAUAAGACCGUUUACGCAUCUAAUUAAUUUUUCAAAAUAGAUCAAGACAAUCAGCCAUUAGUUGGAAUAGAUGGUUAUCUGCUGGAAGAUCUCGGAAGGUCAUAAAUAAUAAUUUUUCCUCC